Calidris pugnax (ruff) is the source of this 955-nucleotide RNA transcript. It is a transcript of the gene named anaphase promoting complex subunit 10, with no coding region annotated. Lineage: Eukaryota; Metazoa; Chordata; Aves; Charadriiformes; Scolopacidae. The record is from RefSeq and is a predicted model, not a curated record. The transcript has 6 exons.
GCGGCGCCCCCCCCCCCUCACCGGCGCUGAGGCGACUCGCGCCCCCUCUCUCCCCCUCCCUCACCGGCGCUGAGGGGACCCUCAACUCCGCUCGCCCCUCCGCUGCCGAUCAGAAUGACUACCCCGAACAAGACACCACCCGGUGCUGAUCCAAAGCAGUUAGAGAGGACUGGUACUGUUAGAGAAAUAGGCUCACAAGCAGUUUGGUCUCUUUCAUCCUGUAAGCCAGGAUUUGGAGUGGAUCAGUUACGAGAUGAUAAUCUUGAGACUUACUGGCAGUCAGAUGGAUCACAGCCUCAUUUGGUCAACAUCCAAUUUAGAAGAAAAACAACAGUGAAGACAUUAUGUAUUUAUGCAGACUACAAAUCUGAUGAAAGCUACACUCCAAGCAAAAUCUCUGUCAGAGUAGGAAAUAAUUUUCAUAAUCUCCAGGAAAUCCGGCUUCAGCAUACUAUCUGCCAAGCUCAAGGGAAGUAACUGAGAUUCACAUUGGAGCCAAGUCCCUGUAGGUCUGAAGGAUUUCCCCUGAUAGCGGGAGUCUUCCCAAAGUCUAAUAGCGGUGCAUCUGUGAAGCAACUUGAAUUAGUGGAACCGAGCGGCUGGAUUCAUGUUCCUUUAACAGACACGCAUAAGAAGCCUAUUCGCACAUUUAUGAUUCAGAUUGCGGUUCUGGCUAAUCACCAAAAUGGAAGAGACACUCACAUGAGACAAAUCAAAGUGUACACCCCGGUGGAAGAGAGCUCUAUUGGUAAAUUUCCUAGAUGUACAACAAUUGAUUUCAUGAUGUAUCGCUCCAUAAGAUAAAAUUUCUUAAUGAGAAAUAAAGGCAUUUUUUGAUGGCCGUAUCAUUGCUUAAGUAUCCAAAUACUUAGAGCAGGGUUUAUUUCGGUGUAAUUAUAUGUUUAUGUUUAUACUUUGUAUGAUUUUGAAAUAAAGAUAAUACUGUGCUACAGUA